RNAcentral lists this ribosomal RNA (644 nucleotides) under Salmonella enterica subsp. enterica. Its description in RNAcentral is "partial 23S ribosomal RNA". It matches the Rfam family "Bacterial large subunit ribosomal RNA", at positions 2181 to 2824 of the family's 2925-position model. Lineage: Bacteria; Pseudomonadati; Pseudomonadota; Gammaproteobacteria; Enterobacterales; Enterobacteriaceae. The record is from RNAcentral. RNAcentral also lists the same sequence under 2 other names.
UGGAGCCGACCUUGAAAUACCACCCUUUAAUGUUUGAUGUUCUAACGUGGACCCGUGAUCCGGGUUGCGGACAGUGUCUGGUGGGUAGUUUGACUGGGGCGGUCUCCUCCUAAAGAGUAACGGAGGAGCACGAAGGUUGGCUAAUCCUGGUCGGACAUCAGGAGGUUAGUGCAAUGGCAUAAGCCAGCUUGACUGCGAGCGUGACGGCGCGAGCAGGUGCGAAAGCAGGUCAUAGUGAUCCGGUGGUUCUGAAUGGAAGGGCCAUCGCUCAACGGAUAAAAGGUACUCCGGGGAUAACAGGCUGAUACCGCCCAAGAGUUCAUAUCGACGGCGGUGUUUGGCACCUCGAUGUCGGCUCAUCACAUCCUGGGGCUGAAGUAGGUCCCAAGGGUAUGGCUGUUCGCCAUUUAAAGUGGUACGCGAGCUGGGUUUAGAACGUCGUGAGACAGUUCGGUCCCUAUCUGCCGUGGGCGCUGGAGAACUGAGGGGGGCUGCUCCUAGUACGAGAGGACCGGAGUGGACGCAUCACUGGUGUUCGGGUUGUCAUGCCAAUGGCACUGCCCGGUAGCUAAAUGCGGAAGAGAUAAGUGCUGAAAGCAUCUAAGCACGAAACUUGCCCCGAGAUGAGUUCUCCCUGAGACUUA